GAUGAAAUAUGGUAAUGGAGGCUGAAGAACUCGGAAAUGUUUGUGUUGCCAUCAGCUUCAUCUCCUGAUCUAUGAGUUUGGAGUUAAAUAACAACACGACAUUU
RNAcentral lists this small nucleolar RNA (104 nucleotides) under Musa acuminata subsp. malaccensis (wild Malaysian banana). RNAcentral describes it as "Small nucleolar RNA snoR97". It matches the Rfam family "Small nucleolar RNA snoR97". The record is from Rfam by way of RNAcentral. Lineage: Eukaryota; Viridiplantae; Streptophyta; Magnoliopsida; Zingiberales; Musaceae.